UCUAUGUUUGAGACUGAAACAAGUUUGAACAGUUGCUAAAAUUUUGAACUUUAGCGCAUAACACUUAAUGCAGGGGCUUAAAAUGUCUAUACCUGAUGCAUUUAUAAGACUUCAUCUAUUAAAUUUGUAAUUUAAAACACGUUUUGUAAGCUAGCUAGCUAGAUACUUAAUCAUGAUUGAGUGAGAAUAACUUAAGACAACUUCUUAAAUAAAAUUGCAUUGAUGAAAUAAUUUGAUGCAAAAAAUAACUAUCAUUGAUAACCUUUAUGUAUUAAAGUGCAUCUUUAUAAGGAGCUACCAUUUAAUUUCUAUGGGGCUAGGAUGAAAUUUGAAAAAAAUAGGCAGGACAGGAGUUUGAGUAAAAAAAAAGGCAGGAUGAGACACUUGCAAAAAAAAAAAAGUCAGGACGACAAUUUAGGUGAAAAAAAGUCAGGAUAAAUUAAAAAAAAAAGGCAGGACCGAACAGAGUGAAAAAUAAAAAGGCAGGACAGAGAUUACAGCUAAAAAAAAAUGCAGGACAAAAUUUUUCCUCCUAGCCCCCCUAUAAAAAUCAAAUGGUAGCUCCCUAAUCAGACAAAAUCUCUAAGAAUGCAACGAGAUAAAAUAGAAUAUAAACCAGAUAGUGACAUUAAUAUUUUAGAUGAUUGUGUAAAAGUAAAAUUGUGUUAGAGUAAAAUCAGAGAUUAUUCUUAAUUUAGAAAAUAGAACUUGAAAUUUAUUUAUUUUGUAUAAGAAAACAAAUUUGAACUGAUUAUUAUCACCUUAUCACAAUGAAAAAUAACAAGAAAGAAACAAAAAUAUCUUUAAAAAAGAAGCAUAGUAAUAAUGUAUUAAGGGACGACAUCAAAAGUUCAAUAA
RNAcentral lists this long non-coding RNA (858 nucleotides) under Mytilus galloprovincialis (Mediterranean mussel). Lineage: Eukaryota; Metazoa; Mollusca; Bivalvia; Mytilida; Mytilidae. The record is from RNAcentral.